This 440-nucleotide ribosomal RNA is filed under the name uncultured bacterium. Its description in RNAcentral is "partial 16S ribosomal RNA". It matches the Rfam family "Bacterial small subunit ribosomal RNA", at positions 338 to 795 of the family's 1533-position model. The record is from RNAcentral.
CCUACGGGUGGCAGCAGUAGGGAAUAUUGCUCAAUGGGGGAAACCCUGAAGCAGCAACGCCGCGUGGAGGAUGAAGGUUUUCGGUUUGUAAACUCCUUUUGUUAGAGAAGAUUAUGACGGUAUCUAACGAAUAAGCACCGGCUAACUACGUGCCAGCAGCCGCGGUAAUACGGAGGGUGCAAGCGUUACCCGGAUUCACUGGGCGUAAAGGGUGCGUAGGCGGGGUAAUAAGUCAGAUGUGAAAUCCUGGAGCUUAACUCCAGAACUGCAUUUGAAACUGUUUCUCUGGAGUGUGGGAGGGGUAGGUGGAAUUCUUGGUGUAGCGGUAAAAUGCGUAGAGAUCAAGAGGAAUACUCAUUGCGAAGGCGACCUGCUGGAACAUUACUGACGCUGAUGCACGAAAGCGUGGGGAGCAAACAGGAUUAGAUACCCUUGUAGUC